GCGUGUCCGGACCGGGGGGGGUCUUAGUGGGGGGUCUGGGUCUGGAGUCGAUAUGGGAAUGUAAUAUAGUCCCUGAUCCUCAGACACAAAGCAAAAGCUGUGAUGGGGUGUGUGUGUGUGUGUGUGUGUGUGUGUGUGUGUGUGUGUGUGUGUGUGUGUGUGGGUGUGGGUGUGGGUGUAUGUGUGUGUGUCGACAGUACAUUUGUGAAGCAUCUACAUUCUGCGUUGAUCGCUUUUAAAACUGAAACUGAGCAUUGUUUCCGGAGCUUUGAUGCUGAUUUAAAAAGAAACAAGACACACAAACGGAAGCUGGGGUUUGCUUUUCAAAGUUCAACCCUGAUGCACGCUGCUCGCGUAUCACCAAAUCCUGGAGGUAGUCCAUUUCGCCCACUCAUUAUUUUCUGACUUCAAAGUCUUUCGUGCAGCUAAUGAAUAACUGAAUUCCCACCGGUGAAUGUAGAAAACUUUAUGUACACGCUUACAAAUUACGUCAUUGUGAAGUGACUGUAAAGGGCUGCUUGUUUUGUGUAAUGAUACAUCUCCCUUCCAGCAAUUACUAACCUUAACCUGGCGGACCUACUUCAACUUGGGGGGGGGGGGGGGGGGAUAUGUAUUGAAGAGGAAACGCAAUUAUGUUGAUAAUUGAACUAAUUAACUGUAUUACGUGUGUGUGUGUGUGUGUGAGUGUGUGUGUGUGUGUGUGUGUGUGUGUGUGUGUGUGUACGCAUCUGUGUAUGCAUGAGUGUGCAUGAUUAUGACAUUAUCUACCCUCUUGUGUCUGUCCAACAACCAGUAGUAGAACAGUAAUGAAGACUAAAUUACAUAUAUUUAACACUUAAAACACCCUAAAAAAUAUCCUUUCCAAGUUUCACUUUUUCUCCAUCCUUUAGAAUCUAGUAUGUUUCUGGUAUGUUUCUGUUCGCUUAUUUCGGCUUUCAUCUUUUUUUAAUUGCAUGUCUAUUCAAUUUAUUCGAAGCUUGUUGAAAGAUGUUUUUUGUCCUAAUUUUUGCCUGGGUUUGACUGUUAGCUUUCACUAAAUGCUGAAAGAGCACGGUGAAUUUGUUUUCAAUAUACACACACACACACACACACACACACACACACACACACACACACACACACACACACACACACACACACACACACACACACACACACACACACACACA
Molecule: long non-coding RNA, 1169 nt
Organism: Gadus macrocephalus (Pacific cod)
Lineage: Eukaryota; Metazoa; Chordata; Actinopteri; Gadiformes; Gadidae
Exons: 2
Source: RefSeq, a predicted model, not a curated record